Molecule: small RNA, 292 nt
Filed under: Rattus norvegicus (Norway rat)
Lineage: Eukaryota; Metazoa; Chordata; Mammalia; Rodentia; Muridae
Description: 7SK RNA
Rfam family: 7SK RNA
About the family: 7SK was discovered as an abundant small nuclear RNA in the mid-70s but a possible function has only recently been suggested. Two independent studies have found that 7SK RNA binds the CDK9/cyclin T complex (known as elongation factor P-TEFb).
Source: Rfam by way of RNAcentral
AUAUAUAAGAGCAAUCUGACACAUUUGUCAUCCAUUAAUCAACAGAGCUGUUUCUAUUGAUCCAGCCAGUACACGGCUGCCCAAUUUCUCCCUCACUGUCCCAUGGGUGUUGCUGCCAAAGCUGUGUACUCCACUGAAGAGGACAGCAUUCCCUGAUAAAGAAGACUGUUCUAAGAUCUCUGAGGGGCUGAGCUCCCUGGCUAGAGCUCCCCAAAAAAGCUCUUGAGGUCUGAAGAAACUCCUAAGUACUUUUCAACACACUACCUCAAAACGAAAAGGAAUCUGAUUUUUC